UACGAGGGGUGCAAGCGUUGCUCGGAAUUAUUGGGCGUAAAGGGUAUGUAGGUGGUCUCAUUUGUCCGGGGUGAAAGCCUUGAGCUUAACUCAAGAAGUGCCCCGGAAACGGUGAGACUCGAGUACUGGAGAGGGUCGUGGAAUUCCCGGUGUAGCGGUGAAAUGCGUAGAGAUCGGGAGGAACACCAGAGGCGAAGGCGGCGACCUGGACAGUUACUGACACUCAACUACGAAAGCGUGGGGAGCAAACAGG
Molecule: ribosomal RNA, 253 nt
Filed under: uncultured bacterium
Lineage: Bacteria
Description: partial 16S ribosomal RNA
Rfam family: Bacterial small subunit ribosomal RNA
Source: RNAcentral